AUUGAACGCUGGCGGCAUGCCUUACACAUGCAAGUCGAACGGCAGCACGGGAGCAAUCCUGGUGGCGAGUGGCGAACGGGUGAGUAAUAUAUCGGAACGUGCCCAGUCGUGGGGAUAACGUAGCGAAAGCUACGCUAAUACCGCAUACGAUCUAUGGAUGAAAGCGGGGGAUCGCAAGACCUCGCGCGAUUGGAGCGGCCGAUAUCAGAUUAGGUAGUUGGUGAGGUAAAGGCUCGCCAAGCCGACGAUCUGUAGCUGGUCUGAGAGGACGACCAG
This 276-nucleotide ribosomal RNA is filed under the name uncultured bacterium. Its description in RNAcentral is "partial 16S ribosomal RNA". It matches the Rfam family "Bacterial small subunit ribosomal RNA", at positions 30 to 307 of the family's 1533-position model. The record is from RNAcentral.